ACCAAACUUAUACCUCUAUGUUGCAAUAUCCUUAUUUUUCUGAUUUCUGAACUGCUUGUGAGAUUACUAACAUCACUUCUUUUGGGAAAAAAAAAGAUAUUCACAUUGGUAAAGAUGACCUCCGAUUUAAACUCAUGCAAAAAAACGUGUUUAGACGGGCUCAGAUUGAUGAUAACCAUAAGGGCAUGGACCUUCGUGAAAAGUUGUCAAGAAUGGGACAGCCUCCACUUAACAGUUAUGAGACACGUCAGCGAGUGCCUGACCCAAGGGAGCAAAUGCCUGAACCAAGGGAAACCAGUAUCUUGGGCAGAAUUCCUUCCACAAGAAGUGUGGAUGAUUUGCCUCAUGUGACCACAUCAAGAAGUUCUUAUUCUUCUUGGACUUUAGAUCAUUUAAGGCAAAGAUCACCAGACAGAGUAAUGGGUACUUCUAGGGGUUUAUCUCCCCCAAGAAAUGUUGAAGAGCUUCAGAAAAAGCCGGUAAACAGGGCAUAUGAUGAUGUGAGGACAGUUCCAUACAUGGGCAAAGAUGUUCUUGAUGCUCCAAGGCCUGUGAGUACAGCAUCUUUUGUUACAAAGUCCACAUUGCCUACCACUUCUGCAAAGCCCAUGCCACCAGGCCUCCCAAUUCCAAGUCCAAUUCCUCCAAGCAGCAUUGUACAAAAAAGUUCAUACUCUGUAUGUACUAGUUGCUGUCUACUUUCCAUCCUAUAAGUGAAGGGUGCAAUGAACAUGUUUUACAUCUAUUUUUUCAGCAAUAUAUUUUCUCGUGAAUAUCUGCUGCUUAUGAGUUUAGUCUGUUCUUUACCAUAUAACUCCUUACUUUGUAUGAUUCUUUUUUUUGUUUGCAUUUUUUAAACUGUCAAAAGAAAUGUGUUAUGUUAUUCUCAGACCACCAUGCUUGUAAAGUCGAGACCUAUCAUAAAAUAUUUCUCUCUGAAAUGAAUAAGAAUAUUGUAACUCGUCUGGAUCUUUCAAUCUAGUUAGUUUUGUUGUCAACCAUAUUCAGUUGGCUACAGGAUAAUAUGCUGUUCCAAAAGUUUAAGAACCAAUUAUAUUUCUGUUGGUUUUCCAAAUUGUCUUUUAGAAACUAAAUAUAACAUUGCAUUUUUAGGUGACCUGCUUGUUUUUUAUUUUAUUCUUAAAAAGAUUCUGCUAUGUGUGGGUAGCUAUUGGUCUGGUCACUUUGGUUCUGAACAAGUAGCAGUUGAGAUUGCUUUGAAACUGUAUGUUAUGGUGCCUAAGAUAGUGUAUUACAUUUAUGAAAUUUCAAGUAAUAGGUGCUACAUGCUCUUUACGAACACCUCUGACCCCACUCCAUUUUGUUACCUCUCUUUUUCACAUCAGCAAAGAAUCUUCUCCUCUAUGAAAGCAUUUUUAUUUUAUGCUCUUGCUCAUCAAAUCUGGAUCCUAAUAAUUAUUGUCCUCUCUCUUCUGCCAAUAUAGCAGUACCUUUGCUUUGUUUGCUAACCCUUUGCCUCUCACCAUAUUUUUGCUUAACUUCCAUUCCCUUUUUUAUCAAGUGUUCAAUGCAGUUUGCUUUCUAUUCGUGCAUAAAUGACCAGUCAUAGUGUGAUCCCAAAGACUUUUCUUAAAAGUUAUAUGCAUGCAUUGAUUUGUAAGGAGCAGUGUUUAGAUGAAUUUUCUUACCUUUUUUUUCUUUCUUUUUGGCUGGAUGCUAUAUAGGGUGAUGAACAACAAACUGUUGAAGGCUUGCUACAUUCACUGGGGUUGGGAAAAUAUGCAAUUCUUUUUAAGGCAGAGGAAGUAAGUAAUCUAGUUCUUUUGUUCAAUUCUCCCAGAGUAAGAUUAAAUCUUGUUUUUUUUUUUUUUUGGGGGGGGGGGGGGGAGAAUAAAGGUGUUCAUGAGAGGCAAGGGAAGAGUAAUCAGCCAAGAACAAAGAUGCAUUUCCAUUGUGAUAUGUUAUUUCUUGAUAGUAGUUUGUCACUUGCUAUUUGUUUUCUUUGGUUAUUUCAGUACGGCAGUAGUUUGAAUCACUGGUGCAAUGCAAGAUCUUAGGAUGGUUCUUGCAUCUUCACCUAAUGGGGAUAUUUGCUGAUUUUUCUGAUUGAAAAAAAUAUAUAUUUUAGCAUCAAUAGUGAUUUUGGCAUCUUAUCUGUCAUAUUUUAAAUGACCUCAGUAGCACUCAGGAUUACUCAUCAAUGUUAAUUCUUAAAUACAUCACUUUCAGGUUAGAUUGUCUAGCUUGGUUCUGGCAAGGCUGUUGAUAAUGUAAAGAUGUCUUCACACAUGCUUGUCCAAAUAAAAAUAAACAUGGAACUUUAUAGAAGCAAAGAUUAAUAUGUAUGUUUUAUGUCCCAAAAGUGGAAGUCCAAUGAUUAGAUCUAGAGAAUUUCAAAAUGUAGCUCACACAUUUCAACCUUAGGAUGAGGGAUGAAGUUUAUGGGAUGAAAGGUUACCUCUUCAUAUGUAACCCUCUUUAUGAGCUUCCUUUUGUAUCUAAAAGAAAAAAGUAUGAUUCAUGUACCCUCUAUUACCUCCCCAUGCCAGAUUGGCAACCCUCUGCGCCCCCCCCCCCCCCCCCCCCCCCCCCCAAAAAAAAAGGGUAUAGGGGGAUAUUAAGAAGUAGUAGAAACACAACAAAAAAUGUAUUAAGGCAGGUGCUGUGUUUGUUUUUGGAGGAAACCUUUCUAGAUCAAAUAGAGGAUAUGACAAACCAGUAGUUGCUUGUACCUUUGAUAGUUGCCAAUUGAUGCUUGGAUUUUGUGUUGCAGAGAUGCAAGCACAUAUCUUAUUUGAUUUUACUUUUAAUUGCAAUAAUGAAAUUUACUCUUUCUUGAAAAAAUGUUGGAUAUGAUUAUUAUGCCAACCAUAAGCGGAUCCUAGUGUAACAUGGACACCCUCAAAGAUUGGGUAACAAGAAAAAUUGAAGGAAAAUUUUCCCCUGGACACCCUUUCCAUAGAUAAAAUUGAUAAAUCCAUCAACAAAUUUAUAUAUAUAUAUAUAUAUAUAUAUAUAAGUGGACACCUCCGAAAAAAAUCUUGGAUUCACCACUGAUGCCAACUAUGGCUGACAUUGGUGUGUUUGAAAUGGUUGCCAAAAUUGGUGAUGUUAUUCAAGUUGUGAAUCUGUCUUAUAAAACAAUGCAUAAGUAUCUUCAAGAAACAUUUGGGUACUGAUGUUUCCAAACAAACUGUAUAUAGAGAAAUUUCCUGGAUUGAGGUUGUUUCUGCAGCUGUUCUAUCAUGCAAAUUUUGAAGAUUUAAUUUACUCUAUUUUUAAGUUAUUGAAAUGUUAUGUAUUGAUUUUGUGAUUUUGAUUGGAGAAUUGCUUGUUUGUUUGUUUUAUCUGUAUUCUCCUUUUUUGGCUGAUCUGUAGAUUUGAAAUUUUACUCAGGUGGAUAUGACAGCAUUGAAACAGAUGGGGGAAAAUGAUCUUAAAGAGCUAGGAAUACCUAUGGUAUAUUACGCUUCUUUUCUGUAUUGGUAUUGUUUAUUUUUAAAUUUUCUGUUCUUUAUUUUCACAAUUGAUUUGCCCAAAGGCCCCAAACUAAUAACUGAUGCACAUACCUAAACUCAGAUUUCUGGCGAGUUAAAUUCACAAAGUUGAAAUUGUCAAGCCUGUCUCAUAUUUUCUUCAUUAGACAUCAGUUCUCAAAACAUUUUUUUAAGUGAUUUUUAGCAUGUGCACACAGCUGAGACUGAUUUGAGCACCUAAGUACAUCAUGAUAAUUCUGUGUGCCUGGAUUUCUUUUACAUGAAUUUCAAUUACUUGCUGCCUAAGCCAAAUUCAUUUUAACUCAAGGCUUUAUGUGCUACGAUUAUAGUUGUAGAUGGAUUAUGGUUGAGCAUUUUCAGUAAGCACUAUGUGCUAGGAAAUCAGUGAUUUUCCUUGCUGCUAAGUUAUAGUUAUAGUUCCAGGUUUACUGCUUAGUAGCCUGCUACUAAUUGUUUUAACUUUUGAAAGACUCCAGUAUCCAGGUGCUUACCAUGGUAUAGAUGAGAAUUUUAAUUUGCCUCUUGCUCACAAUAAAUUUAGGGUAUUUGGUAAUAUGGGAUGUGAUCCGGGUGAUUUCUAGAUUCACAUGCAGCCAAUCAAAAGACUUUUAUCAUGAUCAAUUUUCACGUGAAUAUUGUUUGAUAACUGUUGUGCAAAAUGUAAUCUUAAGAUAUAGCUGUUGAAAUUUACAUAACAUGCUGAAUUGUCCCUAAUGAAGCUGGUUUAUUUGCAGGGCCCUAGGAAAAAGAUUCUUCUUGCUCUCUUGCCCCGUUCAAAAAGGCAACCAUGAUUAUUCGUUCGUUUCGUGUGACAGGGUGCUCGUAUUCGUGAAUCUUGUCUAAGUAAAACCAUUGUAUCUCUCUUUUUGGGAUAGAAAGUAACCCGUCAAUCUAUUGUCACAUUUUUUAAUCUAAGGCUGAUUAACCUAGGUAGAAGGUGGCAAGAAAUUUUGAGAUGUCAAGAAAUUAUAUUGUUCUCGUUUUUUAUGCAUGCUACCCCCUUUUAAUUCCUUACCAACCUUAACCAUAUGGGUGUUUGAUCAAAUUCAAAUGAAUUGUCUUCGCUAGUUGUUGGUAGAAAGAAUAAUAUUCCUACAAAUGAAUGUAAUGUAAAAUGUUGUGAUCUGCUGAGGGAACUCCAAUUUGUAUUCUCCCAAAUACUGUUUGCUUGGAUCCGUUUCUAGGAAAUAUCCUUGCCCUUUCCCCUACUUUGCUUUUUUUUAUUACAAUCUCCUUUUUCUUUAAAAAUAAGCAUGCAUGUCAUGAAGUCCGCUCGGUGCCCUCUUUAGUUUAUGACUAACAUACUCUUCUAAUCUUUUUUGAAUCAAAGGUUCUCCUUCGGCAAGUAGCCUAGGAUAAAAGAACCCAGUCAUAAAAGCGCCAGCCAUUGGCUUUAAAAUUGUGUGAUGGUGGGCUAUAUAUAUAUAUAUAUAUAUAUAUAUAUAUAUAUAUUAACAAAAGUUUAGAUAUGGAGAGGAGAGGUUAUCUCGAUUAGAGUCUUAAGUAUAUUGUAGAUUUCGGUGAAGACUUGCAUAGUAUACUAAGUAUAACUGGUAAUAGCGUGUGAAUGUAUCUAAAAGUUACAAGUGAAAUAUUCGUUUUUUAUCAACUCAAUCAACUUGUGUUCGAGCCGGACUUGGUUUUUUAAUCCUUGGGGAAGAUGUGACCAUCGGCUAUUUGAGACUUGGGAGGUCCUCUCUACUCUCUACUGGAAGCAAAUGGCAUUAAACAAUGUGAUGGGCACCCAAGAAGAAUAGUAGAAAACAAGGGAAUAAAAAAUUCUCAUCAGUGAAAGCAAGACCUUAAAAUUUGCCUGCAGCUACCAACAUGAAUAAACUAGAUUAAUUUGCACCCGUUUUGAUUUGUCUCGUUAGAAAUAAAACUUUAUUUUCUGACGGCUAAGACUUGGUUUGCUCAACUUGAGGAUUUCAGCAGAAUGGGUGGGUGGGUGGGUCAAUCUGCAAAUAGAGAUACCAGGCUUAUCUUUUGUACUAAGCAAAAACUUUAAGCUCUGCAGCCACCAGGAAACAUCCUGGUUUCCUCUUAAGCUUUGCUUUCUCUUUCAAUAGCAUAGAUUUGGUUUAUUGGAUUUGGUCAAUAAUGAUUCAGUUAGCUUCAUUUUCCAUUCAGGAGUACUUUCUUUAUGUAUGUAUAUGAUGUGCCAUGAAUUGUCUUUAUUGCGCUAUUAUUUCCUUGAUUCUUUGAAUGCGAGAUUGCUACGGAUGAUGAUAGUUGGACUUUGGCACAAAUUCAAAUAUCAUGAUAUUUAAUUUAUCCAAUUCUAUCUGUGGGAAUUUAGUUUUCUUAUGCUUUGGGAAUUUUAAGCAGCCCAAUGAAUGAGAAUGUUCCGCAACUAGUCAUGGAUAUGGAGAUACGACUUUGUCGCUUGGGCUUUUUGAUUGUCAAUUUCAUAUUAUAGGAACGGUUAUGGAGAUUCUAUGCGUACAGUAAGAAAAGCAAGAACAGUGCUUCUUAUUUCUCCUUUAUUUUGUAUUUUUUUAAUUUUUCGCUUUUUUAUUAUAAAAAGCAAAAAUAAUAAUAAAUAAAAACAAUUUUUUUCAUUAAUAUCCCAAACUCAAUGAAUAGCCCCCAAAAUUCGGAGCCACUUGUUACUCAAAAUUUAAUCAGAUUGGGCUGCUCUAACUCAGCCUAACAGCUGAACGAUGAGCAUUCUUGUCUUCAAUUUCUGACUCAUAAUUCAUAAUAAUGGAGUUAAAACAUGGCCCCCGCCUUCAGUUUUAUUAGAUAAUUUCGUAAUCUAAGAUUGCAGCAUGAUUUGAUCUGAAUGGUUAUCAUGAGCUUAUUGGCGAUGAAUAUUUGCUUUAUUAUUUGUCAAAGCUAGAUUUUAGUAGCUUCAUGAAAGGAAGCCUGAAGUAUUACGUUUGCAACCAGCAAUCGCAGUUUGCCAUGUCCUUAUCUUCAUCAGCAGUCGAAGCAUUUUCCUGCCUUUCCUAGAAAAGACAUGUGCCUUAUCUGAACUUAUUUUGGUCAAUAUUGUACUCCUACGUGCAUUGUUUUUGCCUUGUUAAAGUGGUCUACGCUUUUGUACUUUGUUCUCUAGUUCCCCUUUUUCUUUUUCCUCGUCAAUAAUCCUUAUGCUUCUUUUAUAUUAUUUGUUUUAAGCAUACGCAUGAUGCACAUGCAAUUUUUUUUUACAAAAAAUUUAUUUUAAUAAAUAAUUUUUAUACUAUAAUAAUAAUAAAUAUUAAUAAUUUAAUUUUUAUUUUGGUAUACCAUAAGUAAAAUUUAAUAAUUUCUUAUAUACUUUUAAUAAUAACAAUAAUAAAUACUAACAAUUUAAUUUGUAUUUUUUAUACUAUAAGUAAAAUUUGAUAACUUUUUACAUAAUUUUAAUUUUUAUAACUCUUAAUAAAAUUUUGAUAACCUUUGAUACAAUUUUGAUAAUCCUUUGAUAAUUUACGAUAUUAUUUUGGUAAGUACUAAUAUAAUUUUGAUAAUUUUUUUAUAAAAUUUUAAUAAUCUCUUGAUGUAAUUUUAGUAAUAUUUUAGUGACUUAUAAUAUACUUUUAAUAAUUAUUAAUAAAAUUUGUAUCAUCAUCUAUUUAAUAAUGAAUUCUCGUAAGAAAUUGAAAGUUUAGUUCUAAUAUAAAAUGAUUUUCUUUUAUAUAAUAAUAUUAUUGCUUCAUUCAAAUUUAAAAUUUUUCACUAAAUUUAUUUAUUAAAUAAAUUCAUGGUAAAUUUAUCCUCACUCCCCAAAAUGAAAUUUGAAACUUUGUUUUUGUUAGUAACUAAGAUUUAAUUCCCAACUACCUCAAGUAUAAAAAAUUUGUUAAUGAUUGACAAUUAAAUUAUUAUUGAUUUAAUACUAUUUUAUCAAUGAUUUACUAUUAAGUUAUCAAUAAAAUACUACUAAAUUAUCAAUUAUUUACUAUCAAACUAACAUUGAAGUACUACUAAUUCAUGAAUGAUUUACUACUAAGUUAUGAACGAUUUACUAAUAAAUUAUUAAUGAUUUACUAUUAAAUUUUUGAUGAUUUAUUAUAAAGUUAUAACUGAUUUGCUAUUAAUUUAUCGAUAAUUUACUACAAAGUUAUCAAUUAUUAACUAAUUUAUUACAAAAUUAUCACUAAUUUACAACUAAAUUAUCAUUAAUUUACAACUAAGUUAUUAUUGGUUUACUACUAAAUUACUAAUAAUUUGCAUCUAAAUAAUCAAUGAUCUACUAUUAUGUAAUUAUUCAUUUACUACUGUGUUGUCAUUGAUUUACUACUUAAUUUUUUAUUUUUUACCAUAAAAUUAUCAUAGAUUUCUUACUAAAUUAACUAUGAUUUAUUAUCAAGUUAUCACUACAACAACAAUAACACACUAAGCCUUAUAUAUCAUAUUUUAGGGUUGGAUGCAUAAAAAAUCAAAUAAGAGAAUCAAAUUAGGUUGUAAUCUGUAUCCUUUUGCGCUACUUAUUUCUAUCAAUAACCACAUUUUCAUCUAAUUUCUUAACUAUCGUAUCAUUUUUUUAUUACUUGUAUCUAUAUCUUUCGUGAUCUACCAUCGUUUUUUAUUACCAAGUUAUCACUAAUUUAUAUUAAAUUAUACAUGAUUUAUUAUUAAAUUAUCAUUGAUUAACUAUUGAAUUAUCAAUGAUUUACUAAUACUAAAUUAUAUUAAUUUACUUUUAAGUUUUCAAUGAUUUACUACUAAGUUAUUCGUGAUUUAUGACUAAGUUAGUCAUGAUUUAUGACUAAGUUCAUUAUUUAAUUACUAUUAAAUUAAAAUUAAUUUACUAUGAAGUUACCAGUAUUUUACUAUUAAAUUGUCAUUAAUUUAUUAUUAGGUUAUCAAUGAUUAACUAUUAAGUUAUCUCUUAAUCAUUGAUUUAUUAAUAUAUUGUUUCACACAAAUAACUAUGAAACUUGAAAUUUAAAAAGUUUACUAAUAAUAUAUGAGAUAAUUUUAUUUUAUAUAAUAAUAUUAUUAUUUUAUUCAAAUUUAGAAUUUUUUAUUAAUUUUUUUAUUGAAUUGGUUUAUACUAGGUUUAUCCUAACCCCAAAAUAAAAGUUUUGACUUUGUUUCUUCUAGCAACCAGAGUUUAAUCCAAGGUUAUUAAUACCAUACCAGACAACAUUUCAAUUUUCUUUAAAUUUAUGGUAUAUAUCAAUACUAGUGGUUUCGAUAUAUUAUCAGAUUUUUGGGUUUAAUAUAAAUAUAUAUGAAUUUGUACAUUAUAAUACAAUUAAUAAUCUACAAAAUAAAUAUGCAAUAUCUUCAAAAAUCAAAUAAAUAACUUUAAAAAUAUAGAAAUAAUAUUAUAAAAUUUUUAUGAUAUUUUUAAACACUUAAUUUGAUCAUAUAAUAUUUAAAUAAGUAUUUUUUUAUGCAAAUAUUAAGAGAAAAAAAAAAGAGAAAAAAAUUAACCUUGGCUUCACUUUUGUUAAACUUUAGAAAUUAAGUACAAAUACUUUCUUGAAAGAGAUUAAAAUACUUAUGAAUUUUGAUUUGAAAAAAUAAAGUAUAAAAGAACAAAUUACAAUAAAAAAUAGAAAAGCUCAAUUGUUAAAGGUUAUUUUGUCAAUUAAUUUUAUUUCUAUUAGGUUAAAAAUAGUCAAACAACGAAAAACAAAUUAAAAAUUGUAAAACAUGUUUCACAUUUACAUAUCUAUCGAAACAAAUUAAUCCAUCGAAAUUCAUCAAAACUAGUCGAAUCCUACAAAAAUGACUAGUAUUACCUGGUAUCAAAUCCAUGGAUUUUUCAUACUGGCCAGUAUGAUAAAUAUCCUUAUAUGUACCGUGUUUUGGUAUAACUAGAGCGUAUUGACCGUAUGAUUGGUACAAAAAUGAAAUUAACAACUAUGGUUUACUCCCAAACAAUUUCAAGUAUAAAAAAAAGUUAUCAAUGGUUAACAAUUAAGUUAUCAAUAAUUUAUUAUUAAACUAUCAGUGAUUUAUAACUAAAUUAUCAAUGAUUUAUUACUAAUUUAUGAAUGAUUUGCUAUUAAGUUAUGAACGAUUUUUAUUAAAUUGUUGAUGAUUUAUCACUAAAUUAUUGAUGAUUAAUUAUAAAUUUAUAACUAAUUUAGUACUAAUUUAUCAAUGAUUUACUAAACAGUUAUCAAUGAUUAACUAAUUGACUACUAAAUUAUCACUAAUUUAUAGUUAUUAGUAACUUACUAUUAUGUUAUUAGUGAUUUGUUAGUCAAUUAUCAAUUUAGUAUUAAAUUAUCAAUGAUUUACUAUUAUAUUUUUAUAUAUUUACUACUAUGUUAUAAUUGAUUUACUACUUAAUUUUUGAUUAUUUACCACAAAAUUAUUAUUUAUUUGUCACUAAAUUACUAUGAUUCACUACAAAAUUAUUACUGAUUUAUAUUAAAUUAUACAUGAUUUACUAUUAAGUUAUCGAUGAUUUACUACUAAAUUAUACUGAUUUACUUUUAAAUUUUCAUGAUUAAUUACUAAGUUAUUUAUGAUUUACUAUUAAGUUAUUUAUGAUUUACUAUUAUUAAUUAAUUAUUAUUAAACUGAAAGUGAUUUUUACUAAUAAAUUGUCAUUAAUUUAUUAUUAAGAUAUCAUUGAUUUAUUAUAGAAUUAUUGUUUAUUCUUGUUAAGUUAUCUUUGAUUUAGUAUUAUGUUGUUAUGCAUUUACAAUUAUAUUAUAAUUGUUUUACCAUGAAGGUAUUAUGCAUUUAUUAUUAUAUUAUUAUUGAUUUAUUAAAAAGUUAUCAAUUAUUAACUAUUAAAUUAUCAUAUAUUUAUUUUUAGGUUAUCAUUAAUUUAUUACUAAGUUAUCAAUAAUUACUACUAAGUUAUAUUGAUUACACUUAAGUUUUCAAUUAUUAAUUACUAAGUUAUUAAAUAUCUAUUACUAUGUUAUCAUUGAUUUGUGUAUAUCCAAUAAAAAAGUGUCCACAAUGUAUGCUAGAUAAUAAAUGUAAAAAACUUGAGAAGAAUAAGUAAAUGAUCUUAAUUUACUAUUCAUAAUUUAUCAUGCAAUAAUAAGUUAAAAUAAUAACUUUUUAUAUUAAUGCAAGUAUGAAAUUUAAAUUAAAUAAAUAUAUACAAUAUAUAUUAAGUUAAUAUUUAUAAGAUAUUUUUUAAAAUUUUAAUUCAUGGUAAAAUAAUACGUAUUAAGAUAAGUUUUAUUAAUAAUUUGAUUGAAUUAUUAGUGUGUAUAUUUUUAUACUUGUUAGCAAAGUACAAAUGCAUAUAAAAUAUUAAAUAUUUUGAAGUAUUCUAUCAUCAAUGAAACUAAUAAGUUUUGCCCUAUAUUUCUAUUUUUAAGUAUAUAAUAUUGGUAAAAAUUUUGAUAUAUAUAUAUAUGAUAAAAGUAAUGAAAACAAAUUUACUAUAUAAAAUUUAUAAAAUUAAAAAAACAACAAUUUUAAAAAUAUUAAAUUCACAAUAAUUACCCUUACAUUAUCAAUAAAAAUUGCUAUUACUAAAUCAAAAGAUGAUAUAUUUUUAAUUAUUACUUCAUUAUUAUUAUCAUCAUUGAAAAUGAAUUUUUUUUUGUCAGGGACUUUUUUGAUAUUUUGAUACCAAUGAACUUCUUCAUGUGAAAAUAAUAAAAAAAAAUUGUAAGUGAUCAUAACAACCCAAAUAAUAUUUAAUUUUAUGAGUCUUCCUAAAUGAGUAUGAAUUGUGAUAUCUCUUUCAAAUAAAAUGUUUAAAUUAUUUUUCUCAACUCAUAUAGUAGCAACUUGAUCAAAAAAUGAACGAUUAUAAAUUCAUUAAUCCGAUUAAUAUUUUUGCAAUACAAAUUUCAAAAUCAUCAAAGUAAGUUAUAGCAUUUAAUCUUGUAAGACAUGGGAAUAAGGAUUUUCUUCUAGAAUUAUCAUUAGUAUUUUCAUCAUUUUUGUACUUAAAUUAUUAUUGUGUUGUAUUUUCAUUCUAUUUUGAAGUUUAUUAUCGGUAUUAUAAAAGUAUAGCUAAAUUGACAUAGAUUAAUCAACACAAUUUGAGCAUAAAUAUAUUUUUUUACUCAUUUUAAAUAUUAAUUUAAUUAAAAACAAUAUAAUACAGAUAAUUAUAAAAAAAGAACUAACUUGACUCAAUAAUGCUUUUAAAAAGUUAAUAACUUAAUAUUUACUUAAAACUAAAAAAAAAUUAAAUAUAGCCAAAAAUUGAUUUGAACUAGUAACCCAAUCAGAAUUUAAUAUGUUUUAUUCAUUUUUUGUAACAAUUUAAAAUUUUCUUAUUUAAGUUUUUUUUCUUCAUCUUCAAGUCUUAAUUUUAUUGUCUUUGUGGUUAAAUUAAUUAAUUAAUUUUAAGAGUAUUUCUAAAGUAAUAUUGCAAUUAUAAGUAUUGAAUAUAUUUUUUUAUUUGGAUUUAAAACAAUUUGAAUGUUGCUUUUCAAACAAAGAAAACAUGCAUAAAUUAUUGAGUCAAAUUUGCUCAAAUGCAUAAGUAAAUAAUUAAGUACACUGUGAAUAGAAAUAGAUAAUAAAACUUGACUCAAUCUAAUUAGUCACUAAUUGUAAGUCUAAAUGCCAACUUAAGAUCAUGAAAAGUUAAAAUUUAAAAUAAUGAAAUACUAAACACACAAUUAAAUAAAGAUUUUAAAACUAAAAUUUACUAAUUAAUCCUGUAAAUCACUUUUAAGUUUAGUUAAAUUAUAAUUUAUGUUAAUAUUUUUAUAUUAAAUGUAAUAGCAACAACUAAUUUGAUAAAUUUCAAUUUUUUUUGAAUAAAUAUUGCCUAAUAUGGUAACUUUAAAAUUUUUGAUACAAUAGUAAAUAUUUUUUUAACUAAUAUAAACGAGAAAAUGAAGGGGUAUACAAUGUUUCUCUUAAUAAAAGAAUUUCACAUUAUACUAAAAAAAUUAAAAUCAAUAUAUUUGUAUUUUUUUAUUGUAACAUUAUUUAAUACCAAACUUUUUUGUCAUAUUGAAAAGAUAAAGUUAUGCAUAACCAGUCAAUAUUUCGUCUCUUUUUUUUUUUUUUUUUGCUUAGAAUGAUCUUCCAUUGGUGUUUCCAUCAAUUAAAUGUAAUUAUAUGUUCUACCAAUUGAAAGCUUAACUUUUCUUUUAUAUGAAAAUUUUUAUUAUAUAUAAAUUUUUAUUAUAUAAAAACAUUAAAAUACAUAAUUUUAAAAAUUAAAAUGAAAUAAAAUAAAUUUCUAAUCUUAGUGCCUGUCAUGUUUUCUUAAGAAAAUUUAAAUCUUAGAAUAACAAACUUGUUAGUAAUACUUAUACAAUUUAUAAUGGUUUCACUUUUAGUAUUAACAACACAAAUUUUUAUAUAUGAACGUAACUUUGGCAUAAAUAUAUUCAAAAAAUACUUCCAAUGAAUUUUGUCACACCUUAAAAGAAUUAAUAAAAAAUAAUUAAUUUUACUUCACUCGAUAAUUCUUUACUUAUAAUAAUUAGCGUUAAGUCAUUCAAUCACCUAGAUGACAAAAAAAAAUGAACAAUUUAAUACAAUUUAUAAAGAUUAAAUAAUCUUAAGAUAUAAAUUAAUCAUACAUGUGCAUAUUAAGAAAAAAGUUAAAGAAAAAUUAAAUCAAUUAUCAUUUCACUCAAGGUAAAUAAUUCUUAUGAUAAUUUGACAAGACCCAAUUCUAAGCUAUUGGUAACUCCACUACCUCCUGAAUCAUUAAUUCUAUAAGUGGAAAUUCCAAUUAAAAUGUUCAAUGAAUCACAUAGUACUCAUUGUUGGCAAAUGAUGUGUAAUAGAUUUGUUUUUUAUUUGAUAUUAGUUUUUGUUUAUUGGAAUAACAAUUAUAAAAUUUUAGAAGAAAAAAAUAUAAAAGAGAAAUUAAUUAUAAAAGUCAAACUAAAUUGUAAGAAUGAUAUGUUAAAAAAUUAUUUCAAGUGACUAAAAAGAUUUAGUUAUGUUAUCAAUAAUCAAAUUAAAAUGAUUAAUUCAUAAAAUAUAUAAAUAAUAAAAUCAUUAGCAUACAUAUAUCUAUAAAUAAUUAUAGUUAACAAAUAUAUUAAAACAAAAAAUUGAAAGGCAAAAAAUAGAAGAAAAACAAAUAUGCCUCAUUGACUUAAUUAUAAUUAUUUUUAAUAAAUUUAUUUAUCAACAUAAAUUACGUAUAUAAUUGUUUUUACAACAACUAAAAAAAACUUCAUAUAAUUGUUCUAUUCCUAUGCAUACUAAAUUUUGAUCUCGUUCUAUCUGUACUUUUAUUUGAUGUAAAAAAAUCAUUCUAAUUGUACAAAAUCAGUAUAAUAAUAAAAAAAGCAUUUAAAUUAAAAUUUAUAAAAAAUGACUAAUGGUAUUUUAAUCAAUCAUUUUUAACAUUUUUUAAAUUAAAAUUUUAUUAAGAUAUUUUAGUCAAUCACAUUAGCACUUUUUUAAUCUAAUUAUAAAAAAAUCUAAUAAUAAAAAUGAAAAUUCAUUUAAAUUAAAUUUUAUAAAAAAGUUUACUAAGAAUAUUUUACUUAAUCAGUUUUAACAUAUUUGAAUUAAAAUUUUAAAAUCUUAAAAAUUUUAAUUUAACAUAAAUUCUAUUUUUAAUUUUAAAUGAUUUAAAUUAAACUUUAAUUAAUUAAUAAAAAUUAUAUAUUUAAGAAUAAAUUUAUUAAUUUAAAAUUUUAUAAAAUAUUGAAGUCAAUCAUUUUUAAUAUUUAUAUUUUUAUAUAUCAAAUAAAUGAUCAACAUGUCUUGAAAUUUCCGUACUAACCAAACAUAAGAAAUCUUACAAAUCAAGGCCCAACUAAUUUUGUUAUAUGCUUGCUUGUAUCUUUUUCAUUAGUUUAUUAUUUUCGCUUUGUCUUUACUUGUCAUUUGAUGUUUUCCCGAGUUAGCAAGUAUUAUUAGAGUUAAAAAAUGGCUGGCAUGUUACAUGUNNNNNNNNNNNNNNNNNNNNNNNNNNNNNNNNNNNNNNNNNNNNNNNNNNNNNNNNNNNNNNNNNNNNNNNNNNNNNNNNNNNNNNNNNNNNNNNNNNNNNNNNNNNNNNNNNNNNNNNNNNNNNNNNNNNNNNNNNNNNNNNNNNNNNNNNNNNNNNNNNNNNNNNNNNNNNNNNNNNNNNNNNNNNNNNNNNNNNNNNNNNNNNNNNNNNNNNNNNNNNNNNNNNNNNNNNNNNNNNNNNNNNNNNNNNNNNNNNNNNNNNNNNNNNNNNNNNNNNNNNNNNNNNNNNNNNNNNNNNNNNNNNNNNNNNNNNNNNNNNNNNNNNNNNNNNNNNNNNNNNNNNNNNNNNNNNNNNNNNNNNNNNNNNNNNNNNNNNNNNNNNNNNNNNNNNNNNNNNNNNNNNNNNNNNNNNNNNNNNNNNNNNNNNNNNNNNNNNNNNNNNNNNNNNNNNNNNNNNNNNNNNNNNNNNNNNNNNNNNNNNNNNNNNNNNNNNNNNNNNNNNNNNNNNNNNNNNNNNNNNNNNNNNNNNNNNNNNNNNNNNNNNNNNNNNNNNNNNNNNNNNNNNNNNNNNNNNNNNNNNNNNNNNNNNNNNNNNNNNNNNNNNNNNNNNNNNNNNNNNNNNNNNNNNNNNNNNNNNNNNNNNNNNNNNNNNNNNNNNNNNNNNNNNNNNNNNNNNNNNNNNNNNNNNNNNNNNNNNNNNNNNNNNNNNNNNNNNNNNNNNNNNNNNNNNNNNNNNNNNNNNNNNNNNNNNNNNNNNNNNNNNNNNNNNNNNNNNNNNNNNNNNNNNNNNNNNNNNNNNNNNNNNNNNNNNNNNNNNNNNNNNNNNNNNNNNNNNNNNNNNNNNNNNNNNNNNNNNNNNNNNNNNNNNNNNNNNNNNNNNNNNNNNNNNNNNNNNNNNNNNNNNNNNNNNNNNNNNNNNNNNNNNNNNNNNNNNNNNNNNNNNNNNNNNNNNNNNNNNNNNNNNNNNNNNNNNNNNNNNNNNNNNNNNNNNNNNNNNNNCUUCUGCAAUUAGAUUCUGAUUGCUAGUUACAGCUACCUUUAACGUUCUCUAAUGGCACUGUUAAUUCCAUGUUGUUGGACUAGAUUGAUAGAUGCACUCAAGAUGAUGAAGCAAGGCGUGAGGCGACUUCUUGUUCCAAAGAGCAAGGUAUGGAAAGGCAUGAACAAAAGAUUCUCAAUUCUUUAUAAUAGGAAAUUGUUAAAAAACAUUAAAAUUUUUUUCUGAUGGAGCUAGAGUGACAUCUAUUUUAUAUUUUAUAAUAAUAGGUAGCGGUUUGCAUGUAUUAUCAGAUGUUUUUAUGACAUUUGUAGAUUUUACUAAUAAUUUUAUAAAAUAUUGUUAUAUUUUUUAUAAAUGAAAUAAGAUGUUUAGUUUAUUUAUUAUUAUUUAUGUAUAUUUUAAUAUUCAUGCAAUUACUUUAAAAACAAAUUUAAAAACAUUACAAUAAAAUGAUAAAUUAUAAAUAAAAUAUAAUUAUAUAUGAUUAAAAAAUAAAUAUUAUUGAUAAAAAUAUUAACUAUUAUUGAAGAAAUUUUAAAUAUUAUCGAUAAUUUUUUUAAAAAAAAUGACAAUUAAUGUUGAAAAAAAUUAAAAUAAUAUAUUGACAAAAAAUAUUUUUAUCAAUGAAAAAUUUUAUCAAUAAAUUAUCAAUGAAACUUUAUAAUUCUGAUAAAAUUGUAUUAUUGAUGAAAUUUUUUCAUAAAUAAUUUAUUAUGGACAAAAAAUAAAAUAUUACUGAUGGAAGCAAUAUCUUUUUUUUUUUUUAAGUUACGAAAAUUAACCAUGUGUAAUUAUACUAAUUAUUUCAAAUUUUUGUUUGUUAUUUUUUCAUAUAUUAUAAAUGAAUACUUUUUAAAAAAUAUCUUAAAUCUAUUACGGAAGAGAAACGAAAAUGACAAAAGAAACGAAAAAAUACUACUAACGAUCCCAUUUCCAAGCAUCAUACAAAGUUAUAUGAGAUAAUCCAUAGAAUCAAAGACAGACAUUGAUGUCGCUUUGAAAUAGCGCAGAUGUUUGUUCAAGCAUCUUUAAUUUGAGCUGCGUUGCCUUUACGCUACGUCUGGAGUCGACGACACUUCGUUGCCUGCCUCCUUAAAAUUUGCGCCACGACAUCUACUGCCCACUUUCUUUCGUUUUAAAAUCUAGGGAAGCAUACACUGUCAGUCAUUAAAUUUAGUGAGCAGGAUCUUAUCGGGUAUAAAAUAAUAUUUUAUAAUAAUUUUUUUAAAAUAUAUUAAAUUUAUUAAUAAUAAAAUAUAAAUAUACAUAUAUAAUAAUAAAACUUAUAAUUAUAAAUAUAAUAAUAUUUAAAUAUAUGUAAAUAUAUUAAAUAAUUGAUUUCAUGAUUUUUAAUUAUAAUCAUUAACAAUAUUUUUAUAAAAAAUAAAAAUUAUUUUUUACAUUAUUAACACGUUAUUUUAUCAUAUUUAAUAUUUUAAAUAUUAAAAUAAAAAUCACAAAAAUAUAAUUUUUUAAAUAAAAAAUUAAAUUUUAAAACAAUAAAAUAAAGAUAUUAAUACGAUAAAUAAAUUUUUUUAAUUUUUUAUGUGAUUAUUUUAUAUUAUAAAAAAUAAAAAAAUAUUUAAAUUAAUCAUAUUAAUUAUUUUAAUAUGUAAUAAUUUUUAAAUAAAAUGAGCAUGCAUAUAAUAAAAAAAAAUUGGUUGAAAAAAGAUCACAAUUAAAUAUUUACUAAAUUGAUUUUAGUUAUUAUAAUACUUGUAUAUAUAUAUAUAUAUAUAUAUAUAUAUAUAUAUACUUAAAUUUACAUGUUUGUGAAUAUUUAAUGUGAGAUAAAUUUAUUCAUUUUUAAAUUAAAAAUCAUUUAUAAUAACAAACAUAAAUUAAAAAAUUUGUAAUUAUAUUUUAAAAUUAACAGUUGUAAUUUAUAUACAAAUAAAUUUUAUAACUAUAUAUUCAAUUAUAUACAUAAAGUAAAGAAUAAUAUAUAUCAAUACAAUUAAUUUAAGUUUGAAGGGUUUAAACUAAUUCUUUUCACUAAAAUAUUUAUAAUUACUAUGAAAAUCACAUAUAUAUAUAUAUAUAUAAAUUCAAAUUUUUUGAGAGGCCAUAGCCCUCGUAAUCUCCUUAGAGCAUCCCUCGUUGUAGGUGAGUGUUUUAAAAGCAAUAACUUUCUCCGUCCGGGGCGACAUUAAAUUUUAUGGAAUUAAAUUUUUUUUAUUUUAAUAUAUUUAAUAUUAAAAUUAAAGUUUCAUGACCUUUAAUAUUAAAAAGUGAAAAAAAUCAUUAAAAUAAUUUUAAAAUAUAAAAAAAUAGAAGUUUUAAAUAUUUAGAAAAAAAAUAACAUAAUUUUGAGACAUUUCUAAAAAAAAAAAGAAUAAAAAUAAAUAAGACAGAGGGAGUAAGUUUUUUAAUUUAAUCAUUAAUGUUUACAUAAAUAUAUUUUUUAAAUUAUUGAAAUGUUAAACAGUAACAUUUUUUUAAGAUGAUACAUCGAGUCAGAAAAAGAAUUCUAAUGGAAUAAAAAUAAAAAUAAUUUCUAAUAAUUCCAACAGAAAAUUCACCGAAAUAAUGUUGUUUGGUCGGAAAGAACGAGGAUUGGACAUUACUUAAGCAUUUUCAAGAAAUUUCCUCCAUUUUUAAUUCAUCGCGUAGAAGAAAAGCUACAACAGCUACUCUGACCCAUACUUAGUAGCCGGAUUAAAUCUUGGAGCAUCAGCAGUCCCGGUUGGACUUUAGGAUCCGGUAGUUAAGCAGAGGGAUCUUCUUUAGUUCUUUGCAUUGAAUUAAUUUUAUUACAUACAGAAGUGAAAUAGGGGAAGGAAAGAACAACAGAAACAAAUACUCAGAACUAACUCCAAACAGAACACACAUUUAACUUAUAGUAUGCUGGAAAUUCACAUUUUACCAAUGAGAAUCUGAUGCAGUAGCUCAGAGUUAUGAAGAAGAGAAAGACAAUGAGCCAUGUGAAAGAUGUAGAAGUCAAUUAAAAACUGAUGGUGGAGCAGCAAAGAAUCAAGCUGAUGGUUUUAAGGAUUCAGGGCAAUCAAAAUUAAUUAAUAAUUGAAUUAAUUAUUUAAUAAUUAAUAUUAAAUAAUAUAAUAAUAUUUUUCAUAAUAUGAAUAUGUUUAAUAAUUUCUUUUUUUUAGAUUAAAAUAUAUAAUUUUAUAUUUUAUUAUCUAUGGUAUUUAUAUUACAAUUUUAAUAAUAAUAUAAACAAAACAUACUUUUGUUAUGAUUUAAUAAUAGAUACUUUCAAUAUAAAAUAUAAAUAUUUUAAUAAUAAAUAUUACUAUUUCAAUAUUAAUAAAAAUAAUAUUUUAAAAAUAGUAAUACUAUUUUAAAUAUUUUAAGAUAUUAAUAUAAAAAUAAUAAAUAGUUUUAUUUUAAGUAUUGUUUAUAUUAAUAUAAUAUUUUAAUAUUAAAUAUUAUUUUAAAAUAUAAUUAUUCUUGAAUGUUAAUAAUUUUAAUAAUAAAUCGUUGCAAUAUACUUUAAUAAUAAAUCAUUUUUAAUUCUUUAAUAGUUAUAUUAAUAGAAUUUGAAGAACGAAAAAAAAUUUUAAAAAAAUAACCAAAUAAUAAAAAAUAUUUUUUAAUAACUCAUUCAAACAACAAAUUUUUUACUUUUUCAAAAAAUAUAAAUAUUUUCUAAAAAUCAACUUUUACAAAACAAACGGAACCAAAAAUUUCAAGUCAGUCAAAGUGGCAGAAGGAGGUUGCUCGGCCCUUUGAAGUCGCAUCUUUGAAGUUAAAUCUAUGUCAUUUGGCUAAUUUUUUGGGAAAAUCAAUUGGAGAAAAUGAAAUAUGAGGUGAAGAGGAACAUUUGGUGAAACUUGGGACUAAACUAGUGCCGACAAAUGGCGUCGACAAUGACAGGUGGUGGCAAUGGCACUUGGGUUUUGGAAAAAUUUUGACUGCCGAUUAAAGAUGAAGAAAUAAAUUUCAAAUAAAUAUUUAAUCAUUUAUGUUUUAAUGCUGACACGAUAAUGAAUAAUGGAAUGAUUGUUAAAUAUUUUUUACACAUGUUAAGAUUUUAUUGGAUAUUAUGCUAUGUCAAUAAAUUUAACUAAGUGUAAUGGUUUCUAUGGCCAAAGUGUUCAAUGGAAUACAAGUUUAAGGAUUUAAUUGUUAAUUUUUAUUCUUUUGGCAUUGAAUAGAUAAAAAAAACAUAGGUUUAAGUAUUAAAUGUUAACUUUUAUUCUUUCGGUACUAAAUUGAUAAAAAAAAAAAAUAGUAUAUAGGCCAAAUAAAUAUUUAACCAUCCCGUUUUUUAUUUAUGUUUUAUUUUAAAACUGCCUUUUUCCUUUUUCUUUUUAAUUAUUAAGACGUCCCAUAUUCAUUAAACGAAUCAGGCGUUUACUAUUUAUAUUGUCAGAGCAUACAAGAUAAACCGCACUGUAAAAUUUCCAGUAACAGCGCCACAAUGCCUCACGAGUCUCGAAGAUCUCCGUUCGUGUUUUCCUUUUUCUUGGAGGCCAAACGAUCAGAUUCCCUCUUUGGAAAACCCUAAAAUUUCCGAAGAGAAUUUAUUUUUAAAAAAACAGUGACGUUAAGAUUACAUUUCUAUUUUUUUUUUUCACGAUCGAAGUUCCAAAUCUCCCAAAAUGAACGGCUAAUUUUCCGUCAUUGAGGUGUUUUAGGGUUUCUAUUUUUCAACUAUUUUUUUCUAAAAGACGAUGAUAAGUAUCAUUUUAGUUGAUCCCUCAGAAGUCAUAGCUGAAAGAGCCGAUUUAUCGAUUUUUAACUAGUCGAGGGUUUCUUCAUGGCAGAAGCUUCGCGGGGCCGUGUUACUAUCACUCUUGGCCGUAGUGGCCAGGUAUUUGUUUUACUUUAUUUCUCGUAAUAUUUUUUUUCUUUUCUUUUUCCUCGAAAUUGGUGAUGUUACUUAAGUAUUUGUUUGGUUGCUGGUAAAAUGUAGGAAAUAAGCUUGAAAUUAAUAGGAAUUUGUCCUUUGAACAUAUAUUGUAUUAAUUCUCGACUCUGAACGAUUUAGUUUAGUAUGGUAGGUUUUUGUUUAUUUAUCCAUUAAAGUGUUUAAGCUGUUUCUUUAAAAAAACAGUCAGUGUAGUUCCCUUAUUUUUCUUGUUGGCUUCUUUUGAGCAUGAACUAUAUUGAUUAUGUUGGUAUAGGUGGUGAAGAGGGCUGGACCUGCAUCAGAUGUUGAUUUUCCUGAUUCUCAUCCUGUUGCUGGUAGUAAGCGUUCUGUAAGGGAUAGGUUAGGAGGCAAUAUAGAUAGUUCCUUGUUGCUUGGAAGUCAGCUCAAUAACAAACGGUAUGUUCUUAGGAAUUUUACUGUUGUUUUCUCGGCAUUUCAAAAUCUUGCUUUGCUAUGUCGGUGCUUCUGCAAUGGCUAUUUAUGUAAUGUUCUGUGUUUCCUAGUGGAUGAUAGUGAUGCUGUUGUUAUAGUAGCUUCCAAAUUAGAGCACUUAUUUUAGGGUGUUUGUUCGAAUGACAUGAUAGAAUUCUGUUGCUAUGGAUUGCCAGGACUUGAGAGUGACUGUUGGACGUGGAUAUGCUUAAUUUUUUUUUUUUUUUUUAAGUUAUUCCUAUAAUUUGGAGUUCAGGACUGUAUCCUGUUUCCACUUUGACUGUUGGAUAUGUGUUAAACAAGGAUUCUUUAGGAAAAAUAAAGAGUUGCAGCAACAUAGACCAUGAGAGCUGAUACAUUGCCCUGCCUUUGGCGUUUAUUUCCUGUGUGAAUAAAUUUUCACCCUAUUAGUUUAUUAAUGGAGUUUACUUAUGCAAAAAGUUAUUGCGCUAUUUUGCCAUUUUCUACAGACAAAGAGGUGAUGGUCAUACAACAAGUUUGAAUGCUAAUGGCUUGAAUGGUACCAAACUUAUACCUCUAUGUUGCAAUAUCCUUAUUUUGCUGAUUUCUGAGCUGCUUGUGAGAUUACUAACAUCACUUCUUUUGGGAAAAAAAAAAGAUAUUCACAUUGGUAAAGAUGACCUCCGAUUUAAACUCAUGCAAAAAAAGGUGUUUAGACGGGCUCAGAUUGAUGAUAACCAUAAGGGCAUGGACCUUCGUGAAAAGUUGUCAAGAAUGGGACAGCCUCCACUUAACAGUUAUGAGACACGUCAGCGAGUGCCUGACCCAAGGGAGCGAAUGCCUGAACCAAGGGAAACCAGUAUCUUGGGCAGAAUUCUUUCCACAAGAAGUGUGGAUGAUUUGCCUCAUGUGACCACAUCAAGAAGUUCUUAUUCUUCUUGGACUUUAGAUCAUUUA
This 21391-nucleotide long non-coding RNA is filed under the name Durio zibethinus. RNAcentral describes it as "long non-coding RNA (DZIB_LNC001189)". Lineage: Eukaryota; Viridiplantae; Streptophyta; Magnoliopsida; Malvales; Malvaceae. The record is from RNAcentral.